AUGAACGCUGGCGGCGUGCCUAAUACAUGCAAGUCGAGCGAACGGACGAGAAGCUUGCUUCUCUGAUGUUAGCGGCGGACGGGGGAGUAACACGUGGAUAACCUACCUAUAAGACUGGGAUAACUUCGGGAAACCGGAGCUAAUACCGGAUAAUAUUUUGAACCGCAUGGUUCAAAAGUGAAAGACGGUCUUGCUGUCACUUAUAGAUGGAUCCGCGCUGCAUUAGCUAGUUGGUAAGGUAACGGCUUACCAAGGCAACGAUGCAUAGCCGACCUGAGAGGGUGAUCGGCCGCACUGGAGCUGAGACACGGUCCAGACUCCUACGGGAGGCAGCAGUAGGGAAUCUUCCGCAAUGGGCGAAAGCCUGACGGAGCAACGCCGCGUGAGUGAUGAAGGUCUUCGGAUCGUAAAACUCUGUUAUUAGGGAAGAACAUAUGUGUAAGUAACUGUGCACAUCUUGACGGUACCUAAUCAGAAAGCCACGGCUAACUACGUG
RNAcentral lists this ribosomal RNA (496 nucleotides) under uncultured bacterium. RNAcentral's name for it is "partial 16S ribosomal RNA". It matches the Rfam family "Bacterial small subunit ribosomal RNA", at positions 29 to 507 of the family's 1533-position model. The record is from RNAcentral.